GGUGAAAUCACUGAGCUGCUGAACUUGCUGACCAAAAUCUUGCUCUCCAGUUUAAAUCUGGGGAGAGGGGGGAGCUUUUGCUGUUAGCACCAGCUUCCACCAAUUUAGCAGUCUGUGAGUAAUAAUAAUAAUAAUAAUAAUAAUAAUAAUAAUAAUAAUAAACCAUUGAUCAUAUCCUCAGCUGCUGUAAGAAAAUCGCACAGACAGACUACAAACAGAGGCACAACUAUGUGGCCCAAAUGAUUCAUUGGAACUUAUGCCUCAAGUACCACCUCCCAGCAGUAAAGAACUGGUGGGAUCACAAACCUGCAAAAGUAUUGGAGAAUGAGCACGCAAAGAUACUGUGGGACUUCCGAAUCCAGACUGACAAAGUUCUGGAACACAACACACCAGACAUCAUAGUUGUGGAAAAGAAAAAGGUUUGGAUCAUUGAUGUUGCCAUCCCAGGUGACAGUCGCAUUGACGAAAAACAACAGGAAAAACUCAGCCGCUAUCAGGACCUCAAGAUUGAACUUCAAAGACUCAUGAUAUCAGCUGUGUAUGUUUGCAGAGGGACAAGAGGCAAUAAAGGAGAAUCGUGAAAAUGCUGACAUUUCUCAGAAGCUGGAAUUCACUAAGCCAAAAGGUUACAAAGCUUUAUCCUUUCCUUCUUGUGUCAUAUUUGUUCAUCUCAGACAUAACUUCCAAUUACUUUCCAAUUUCAGCUGCAAAAUGAAAGGAGUAUUUGAGAUGGACAGCCUGAUUUUCUCCAAGUCCCUUUGACAUUGUGGGAUCAGUAUUCUCCAUAGGAAGUUGCAAUUUUAACUAUGAUUUAAGAAAUAAAGGCCAUUUAUUGACUCAGCCAAGUCCUUUAGGAAACAUUCCUUAGAAAAUAUAUCUGUCUUAAAUGCCCUGUUUGGGUUAUGUUCUUUUUUGGAAGAAUGUAUUUGCUUGUAUAGCCCUGUAAGACUGGGGAAAAAAAACCAGUUACAACGUAAAGUCCAAUUCACUAUCUCAUUACAGGGGAUGCCAUUUCUAUUACAUUUCAGAAGAAGGUGCUUGCAAUUGAAGCCUUGAUACCAGUCUGAUAUGAUUGGACUUUGACUCAGCCAUGGAUCAGUUGGUAGUUUUUCAAUUUCUUCUACAGGUGGCCCUUUUUCAUCUUUCUAGAAAGUUUUAGAAAAUGUCCCUGAUGAAUUGCCUGUUUUCAAACAAUGCCUUUUAAAUAGGAGUAGAAUUGUUCCUCAGUUUGGCUUUUUCACAUGUCCAAAUAUGCAAAGAAAUCUGUUUAUGCCUUUUACCUUGCCCGCUAAUAAUAUCUUCAUGUCAUCCAUCUAAUUUUAGAGGGAAAAAAAUAAUUUGGUUGCCAUUGCCAUAACUACCAUUGAAAGGCAGACAUUCUUGCUGCUUCACAAUCACCUGCAUGUCUCACACUAGAACCUGAUCAAUACCUGUCCCUAACCUUUGACAUUUGGCCAGUAUAAAGCAGUUUUCUAAGGCAGGACUUUAAAAAACAUUGUCUACUCAUAACUCGUUUCUGCCUGAGAAUAUUUUACAUGACUCUGGAAAGUUUCUGUAGGUUUGUUCUUAAGUUGGAUUUCUAUGUAGUUUAGGACAGGGUCUUGUUAAUUCUCUGCCACAGGCAUCCUCACCUUCCCAAACUACAUUUCCCAGAAUUCCAUUCACAUCAGAAGAAAGGGACUGCCAGCUUUCAAGCCUUAAUGUCUCUCUUAGUGUCCCUCCUAGCUUGCUUGUCCUCCCAUAAUGGCAACAGGCAAUCUGGCUCUCUUUCAUUUAAAAAGGAAAGGCCUCUUUAGCUUCACCCUACUGGCACAGUUUGUGCUGAAAAUGAAACUGACUUUGGGAGACUUACAAGGUUUACUGAACUUUAACGAAAAGUCAUAGGUGAGUGUUUCGAAUCUUAAGGGUGCCCCUCGCGUUUCUGAUCUUACAAAAUAGAUCUGACAUACGAGGCACAAACAACUUUUUGCACAAUCCUAAUGAAUACACCUCUAUUGGGGACAUAUACUGACAUAAACUGGUGUUUCUUUGUGCACAACUUUCCCUACGCCUGUUCAAAGACAGCCAGAACAUACAUGAGCACAGUUCUACCCUCAACCAAAAUAACCACAAAUCUGUCAGAGAGAGGCAUCUGAUAUUUGUGUAGUUGAGAAAAAGGAACAACCUUAAACUAAUUGGAUGAAAAAAUAUGUAAAGUGUAGGACCAUCCUAGCUGACCAAACACAUAAAGAGGAAGGCAGGGGUCAGCUCUACCCUCACUAUUUAUCAUGGGGCCAAUCCCUAAUGGCAAACAAUGGAUUGGCACUGGGAUGAUUUAGGAAGCCACCAGCUGCUCUGGAGGUGGGAGAGGUUUUCUGAUCAUCCAACAGUGCUGAAUGAAAUUCAGCAUCACUGGAUGGCCAAUUGUACUGGCAUCUCCCUCUACUGUCAUCAUCACAGUGGUCACUGGGACCAACAUGGCUUGUUUUGGUUGCUCAUUGCCUGAGUGACACUUGCUGCUGCACCAGAGUGACAUUCCUCUCCCCUUCCUUUCUCUGAUCACCCUGUCAUUCUGGAUAGCCUCACUCCAGUCAAUCAUAGAAUCAUAGAAUUGUAGAGUUGGAAGAGACCUCACGGGCCAUCCAGUCCAACCCUCUGCAAGAAGCAGGAAAAUCUCAUUCAAAGCACCCCCAACAGAUGGCCAUCCAGCCUCUGCUUCAAAGCCUCCACCACAGUCCGGGGGAGAGA
Long non-coding RNA from Anolis carolinensis (green anole), 2727 nucleotides. Lineage: Eukaryota; Metazoa; Chordata; Lepidosauria; Squamata; Anolidae. The record is from Ensembl.